UUGAGUUCUAAACAUUUAAUUUAUAUUUUAUCCUCAAUAGAGGUAGAGACUCCGAUGACCUCUGGGAGCCAUCUCCAAAGAAACCACAUUCAAGUCCAUCCCACACUCAUUCAAACAUAGGAACUGGUUCCUCCAGUCUGACCCCUGCUGCUGUCUCUGGCUCCACACCCACCCGGCCAUCUAGAGGUGUUAUGAGUCCAGACCAGAAGCGGAGGAGGGCCAGUGUACCAGCGGCAACUACCACCGAGGGAGAGGACCGUUGGCGCACUGUGCUAGAGGAUGAUGUGGAGCCACUUCGACCAACAUUUCGACCUAAAAGGCAGCCAGGACCUCAGCUGGACAUGACUGGAAAGUACAGCCACCUUAAUCUUUUCCAGAUGUUUUUCUCCUCGUCAGUUCUUGAUUUGCUUGUGUCGAACACCAACAAGUAUGGGGCUAAGAAGCAAGCAGGCAAGAAAAAGGCAUGGAAGCCCAUUUCCAUCCAAGACCUGUACUGUUACAUCUCACUGGUCAUUUAUAUGGGGAUUGUGAAGUUGAAAAAACUGACGGACUACUGGAGAAGCUCAAGACUCUACCAACUGCCUUUCCCUACAACUAUCAUGUCUUGUAAGAGGUUUCUGACCGUCUCGCAGGCGCUUCAUAUUAGUGACCCACAAGCUGACGACAACAAUGACAAGAAGAAGGGCACAGCAAGCUUUGAUAGGCUCUGCAAAAUCAAACCUCUCUACUCCAGCAUUGUUGAGGCAUGCAAGACCCAUUUUCAGCCUUCCCAGAACCUGUCCAUCGAUGAGAGGAUGGUAGCCUCAAAGGCCAGAAUUGGAAUCAAACAGUAUAUGCCUAACAAGCCAACAAGAUGGGGUUACAAGCUGUUUGUUUUGGCAGAUUCUGCAUGUGCCUACACUUGGAAUUUCUUUGUGUAUGAGGGGAAGUCCAUCUCAGCCACCGGUAUGGGACUUGGUUAUGAUUCCGUAAUGAAAUUAUUGGAUUUUCCACUGCUGGGGACGGGCUACAAAUUGUUUGUGGAUAACUUUUACACAAGCCCUACCCUGUUUAUAGACCUGAGGAAGCUGAAUGUAUGGUCUUGUGGAACUAUUCGUCCCAACGGAGUGGGUUUUCCCAAAACAAAAGUAAACGACAUGCCUAAGAGGGCUGAAAGGGGUACCAUACGAUGGAUUCGUAAAGAUGACCUGCUCUUUGUGAAGUGGAUGGAUGCCAGAGAGGUGGUCAUGUGCUCCAGUAUCCACAAAUCGUACAGUGGCGAUCACAUCCGCAGGCGUGCGAAGGACGCUAAUGGGACAUGGACCAAGAAAGAUGUCCCCGUUCCAGAUGCUGUGAAGGAUUACAAUAAGAGCAUGGGAGGUGUGGACCUGUCAGACGCUCUGAUAGGCUACUACAAUGUUCUCCACAAGACAAUGAAAUGGUACAAGACAUUCUUCUAUCACUUCAUCGACAUUGCUGUGGUGAAUGCAUUCAUCCUCCAGAAGGAAAAGGCUAAGAUCUGUGGACAGACCCCCAUGACACAGCUAGCCUUCAGAGAGCUGCUCAUCCAGGAGCUUGCUGACUGCGGCACAAAGUCCACUGCAGCACCUUCUGUCCGCUCUACUCCUGCCUCCAGUGAUGUUCACCUGCCAAAAUACAUCACUGCAGACCUGAAUGUGCCUCGGGGCCAAAAGGGCACAGUAGGGAGGCGUUGUUGUACUCUGUGCAAAAUGAAAUCUCCCAUCACCUGCACUACUUGUGCUGUUACCCUCUGCUUUACAGCAGAGAGAGACUGCUAUGGGACUUGGCAUCAGCAGCUCAAUCUGGUGUAGAUGUGUUACCCUCUGCUUUACAACAGAGAGAGACUGCUAUGGGACUUGGCAUCAGCAGCUCAAUCUGGUGUAGAUGUGUUACCCUCUGCUUUACAACAGAGAGAGACUGCUAUGGGACUUGGCAUCAGCAGCUCAAUCUGGUGUAGAUGUGUUACCCUCUGCUUUACAACAGAGAGAGACUGCUAUGGGCCUUGGCAUCAGCAGCUCAAUCUGGUGUAGAUGUGUUACCCUCUGCUUUACAACAGAGAGAGACUGCUAUGGGCCUUGGCAUCAGCAGCUCAAUCUGGUGUAGAGGUGUUACCCUCUGCUUUACAACAGAGAGAGACUGCUAUGGGACUUGGCAUCAGCAGCUCAAUCUGGUGUAGAGGUGUUACCCUCUGCUUUACAACAGAGAGAGACUGCUAUGGGCCUUGGCAUCAGCAGCUCAAUCUGGUGUAGAGGUGUUACCCUCUGCUUUACAACAGAGAGAGACUGCUAUGGGCCUUGGCAUCAGCAGCUCAAUCUGGUGUAGAGGUGUUACCCUCUGCUUUACAACAGAGAGAGACUGCUAUGGGCCUUGGCAUCAGCAGCUCAAUCUGGUGUAGAGGACUGUGGGUGUUCUGAAUACUCUAAUUGUAAGUAGUGUGUUUUCUCCCUCAGUUUGUGGUGUUACACUUCUGACAUUAGAUCAGUGUUGGCUGCUAAUGUGGCCGUUUAUCUUAAAUCACUCCUUGUUUUGGGAGGCAUUGGAUCAGCGUUCUCGUCGCGUCUCCUGUUAGUAACUUUUGUGUCGGGAUGCUAAUGAUCCAUUACGUAUGACAUUCCUGGGAGUGUGUAAACUUUAUUAUUAAAGCAUUUUAGUAUGUUCUCUAUAGGUAUGUACUUUCAAAUGGACCAAUUUGUCCACUUGUGUACAUUUGGGAAAACUCGUGAGGGACACCUGGGAAACUUCAUACCAAAUAUUAUGUAGCUCUCUCAUUCUUGAGUGUAACUUUGCACACACAUUGUUACCCUGUUGUGGACAACAAAAAAUAUAGAAAACCAAUGUUUUUUUUUUGUUUUUAUCUUUUACUAUGGUGGUCUAUUCUCCUGCAUUAUUCUCACCCCUCCACAGACUUAUAAGUGGUUCCAUUCAAAUAGUAUCAAGAAUCAGCAUAUCCUUUCUUCAGGUCUAUCAGGUCUAGCUAUGCAGGUAUGGAUCCAUCCAGUCUAAAUGGAUAUUUUAACACCAGUCUUUAAUUUGUCCUUAAAGGGGUAGUUCAAUGUGAAGUUUGAUUUCCUUUUUAAAUAUUAUUUUAUUGGUAUGUACAUAACAUUCCCAUACAACUUUUUUUACUUGUACAGUUUAGCUGAGCGCAACAUGUUUGAGGGAUCCCGUCCUUCUGCUGAACAUGAUGAAUAUUCUCUUUGGAAUCUGGUUCGUCUGAACUCCUGUUGAGAAAAGGAAUAGCUGACUUCAGCAGAGGGCUACGUAACCUGUCAUAAAGGCUACAUAUGUAAUGUCUAACCCCUCCAUGUGCCUGCCUGGUAUCUGGUCCCCAGCAAGACAUUAUCUUGAAGCUUUUGUCUUAGGUUUCCUCUGUAUGUGGCUGAACAGGGAGUCGUGAUGCCAACUAGACUGGUCCUGAUGGUGGUACCAGACUGGUCACUAGAAGAUGCCUGUUACUGAACUACCACAAGUUGAUGUCCUUGUGGGUCUGCAGUCUUCAGGAAGGUCCUAACUGUUCCAGCCUGGCCACUGGAGAAUUGUUGCUGCACUACCUCAAGGUUUCUGCCCCCCUGGUUGAGGUCCUAGUGUCUGCCGUGUUUGGAAAGAGCUCGUUGGCUGCUGAAGUGUUGCUGUGCUGGUGGAGCGGGAAGCUCUCCUGUUGUACACUGGCAAGCCCUCUUGGUCAGCAAGGAAGAGGGACGUCUUGUUGGAACUGGGGAAAACCAGGCCAAGUCAAUUCAACCCCAUGACUGUUUUGAUGUGUAAAUAAAUCUACAAAUUAAUGCUUGUCUAAUUUUUCUUUCUCGGUGGUAGUAAAUCAGACUU
Salvelinus namaycush (lake trout) is the source of this 3825-nucleotide RNA transcript. RefSeq lists it as uncharacterized. Lineage: Eukaryota; Metazoa; Chordata; Actinopteri; Salmoniformes; Salmonidae. The transcript has 7 exons. The record is from RefSeq and is a predicted model, not a curated record.